RNAcentral lists this ribosomal RNA (275 nucleotides) under Kosmotoga sp. DU53. RNAcentral's name for it is "partial 23S ribosomal RNA". It matches the Rfam family "Bacterial large subunit ribosomal RNA", at positions 2644 to 2925 of the family's 2925-position model. The record is from RNAcentral. Lineage: Bacteria; Thermotogati; Thermotogota; Thermotogae; Kosmotogales; Kosmotogaceae.
GCUGCGAGCGGAGGAGGCUUGAGGAGGGUCACCCCUAGUACGAGAGGACCGGGGUGAGUGGACCACUGGUGAACCAGCUGUCGUGCAAGCGGCAGUAGCUGGGUAGCCAACGUCCAUGAGCGAUAACCGCUGAAAGCAUCUAAGCGGGAAACGUGCUCCAAGACGAGGCCUCCAAGGGUCGUCCGAGAAGAGGACGUAGAUAGGCUGGAGGUGUAAGCCCCGCGAGGGGUUGAGCCGACCAGUACUAAUCACCCGAGACCUUUACCUAUCCCUAU